RNAcentral lists this ribosomal RNA (270 nucleotides) under uncultured bacterium. RNAcentral's name for it is "partial 16S ribosomal RNA". It matches the Rfam family "Bacterial small subunit ribosomal RNA", at positions 28 to 296 of the family's 1533-position model. The record is from RNAcentral.
GAUGAACGCUAGCGGCAGGCCUAAUACAUGCAAGUCGAGGGGUAACAGGGUUAGCAAUAACUGCUGACGACCGGCGCACGGGUGCGUAACACGUAUACAAUCUGCCCAUAUCAGGGGGAUAGCCCGGAGAAAUCCGGAUUAAUACCCCAUAAUAGUAGAAGAGGCAUCUUUUUUACUUGAAAGCUACGGCGGAUAUGGAUGAGUAUGCGACUGAUUAGUUAGUUGGCGAGGUAAAGGCUCACCAAGACCACGAUCAGUAGGGGAUCUGAG